RNAcentral lists this ribosomal RNA (106 nucleotides) under uncultured bacterium. RNAcentral describes it as "partial 16S ribosomal RNA". It matches the Rfam family "Bacterial small subunit ribosomal RNA", at positions 1379 to 1482 of the family's 1533-position model. The record is from RNAcentral.
CCUUGUACACACCGCCCGUCACGCUAUGGAAGCCGUCAACACCUGAAGCCGCCGCGCUAACCGCGAAGGGGCAGGCGUCGUAGGGGUGGGGAGGGUAACUGGAGCG